RNAcentral lists this ribosomal RNA (761 nucleotides) under Trichormus variabilis RPAN59. RNAcentral describes it as "bacterial SSU rRNA". It matches the Rfam family "Bacterial small subunit ribosomal RNA", at positions 47 to 1043 of the family's 1533-position model. Lineage: Bacteria; Bacillati; Cyanobacteriota; Cyanophyceae; Nostocales; Nostocaceae. The record is from RNAcentral.
CUUAAAACCUAGACCCCCCUCAUUAUUAAUCCACACACUGUUUGGAAAUUCUUCCCAUUGCACUAAAAACCUGACCGAACACAAACCCCUUGAGGGAAGAAGGCUCCUCGGUUUAAAACCUCUUUUCCCAACGGAACAUUUAGAAAGUACUUAAGGAAUAAGCAUUGGCUAACUUCAUGCAUACAGCCGCAUUUAUUCGGAGAAAGCCAACAACUCUCCCGAAUGAUUGGGCGUAAAGCCUCCGCAGGCGGCCAUGUAAAUCUGCUGUUAAAGAAUCUAGCUUACCUAGAUAAAAGCAGUGGAAACUACACACAUAGAAUACCUUUGUCGCAGAAGGAAUUCCCUUGUGUAGCGAUGAAAUGCGUAGAGAUCAGGAAGAACACCCGUGACGAAGGCGUUUUGUUAGGCCGCAACUGACACUGAGGGACGAAACCUUGGGGAGCGAAAGGGAUUAGAUACUCCAGUAGUCCUAGCCGGUAAACCAUGCAACCACACCAUUCGAGUAUACGAACCUCGCAGUACCGGAGCCAACGCGUUAAGUAUUCCGCCUNGGGAGUAUGCCCGCAAGUGUGAACCUCAAAGAAAUUAACGGGGGCCCGCACAACCGGUGGAGUAUGUGGUUAACUGCGACCAUCGGGGAAGAAGCUAGUCAAGACUUGACAUUCGCGGAAUCUGGAUAAAGCCAGAAGUACUUUCUUUGGUUUUAAAAAAGGGGCACAAGGAAAUGUAAAAAAUGUGAAAUUCCGAAAAAACAUGAGACG